UGCAGUUCUGGAAUCCAGCAAGCCACAGUCCUCUGUGUCCAGCUUCACAGCCUGUGGGUUUGAGAUGCCCACUGGUGGCCCAGGGGCCCUUCCACCAGAAACCCCAGACUGUGGCAACUGUCCAAGCUGAGGCGCAUUGCUGCUCACACUGGUAAACAGGAAGACAAUCAGACCCCAGCCUCCACUGGAGACCUCUAUCCUCCAGGAAGCGGCGCCAACACGUGGGCAGCAUAACACGGAACUUCAACCUAACAGAGCCCCGCACACGAGGGGCCCAACAGACAGCAGGAUAGGCACCCUACAUCACCCAUCCUGAGGACCCCAAGGCCACACAAAAAUCCCCACCUGGACCAUAACCCUCCCUCCUCUCUCACAAGGACCGCACUCUGAGUGUUACUUGCUAAAUUCUGCCUAAUAAACGUUUCUGUGCCUCU
Molecule: non-coding RNA, 434 nt
Organism: Heterocephalus glaber (naked mole-rat)
Lineage: Eukaryota; Metazoa; Chordata; Mammalia; Rodentia; Bathyergidae
Source: RefSeq, a predicted model, not a curated record